RNAcentral lists this ribosomal RNA (301 nucleotides) under uncultured bacterium. RNAcentral describes it as "partial 16S ribosomal RNA". It matches the Rfam family "Bacterial small subunit ribosomal RNA", at positions 509 to 807 of the family's 1533-position model. The record is from RNAcentral.
CAGUCGCCGCGGGAAUACGGAGGGUGCAAGCGUUAAUCGGAAUUACUGGGCGUAAAGCGCACGCAGGCGGUCUGACAAGUCAGAUGUGAAAUCCCCGGGCUUAACCUGGGAACUGCAUUUGAAACUGUCAGGCUGGAGUCUUGUAGAGGGGGGUGGAAUUCCAGGUGUAGCGGUGAAUUGCGUAGAGAUCUGGAGGAAUACCGGUGGCGAAGGCGGCCCCCUGGACAAAGACUGACGCUCAGGUGCGAAAGCGUGGGGAGCAAACAGGAUUAGAUACCCCGGUAGUCCCUGUCUCUUAUAC